Molecule: ribosomal RNA, 689 nt
Filed under: uncultured fecal bacterium TB106
Lineage: Bacteria; Pseudomonadati; Bacteroidota
Description: bacterial SSU rRNA
Rfam family: Bacterial small subunit ribosomal RNA
Source: RNAcentral
AACGCUAGCUACAGGCUUAACACAUGCAAGUCGAGGGGCAGCACUAGGUAGCAAUACUGAGGUGGCGACCGGCGCACGGGUGCGUAACGCGUAUCCAACCUUCCCGAUACUCUUGGAUAGCCUUCCGAAAGGGAGGUUAAUACAAGAUGGUGUUUCACUUUCGCAUGUUAUUGAAACUAAAGAUUUAUCGGUAUCGGAUGGGGAUGCGUGACAUUAGAUAGUUGGCGGGGUAACGGCCCACCAAGUCUACGAUGUCUAGGGGUUCUGAGAGGAAGGUCCCCACACUGGAACUGAGACACGGUCCAGACUCCUACGGGAGGCAGCAGUGAGGAAUAUUGGUCAAUGGCCGAGAGGCUGAACCAGCCAAGUAGCGUGAAGGAUGAAGGUUCUAUGGAUUGUAAACUUCUUUUAUACGGGAAUAACAUCACCUACGUGUAGGUGCCUGCAUGUACCGUAUGAAUAAGCAUCGGCUAACUCCGUGCCAGCAGCCGCGGUAAUACGGAGGAUGCGAGCGUUAUCCGGAUUUAUUGGGUUUAAAGGGAGCGUAGACGGGAGAUUAAGUCAGCUGUGAAAGCCUGCGGCCCAACCGCAGAACUGCAGUUGAUACUGGUUUUCUUGAGUGCGUACGAGGUAUGUGGAAUUCGUGGUGUAGCGGUGAAAUGCUUAGAUAUCACGAAGAACUCCGAUUG